AGUAGUUCCUCACAAACAAAAAUACUACUUUCUUGAUGAUUUGUACUGUAGUCACUUGAUGAUACUCUUUACAUCCACAGGUGAAGCAGACUCGGUCUUCACAUUACUAUGCUAAUACAAUGAAACAGAGAAAUUUGACGAAAAACUUAUAAACGACUAGCAUAGUCUAACAAUGGCAUCAUACAAUAGUUGCUAGACAAUCUGGUUAUAUAAAUAAACGAAAGCUCCAAGUCUUCUAACAAAUAAAGUUGUUACUGUCUAACAAUUGCAUUGAACAGAAGUUGAUGGAUAUUCUCACAUGAAUAAGAGCUAAAGUACAAUAAAAAAUUCACGUAUAUCAUCACAAAACUUACCUCCACAAAUUAUUUACUUGUCAGCAUAAAUUUUAGUCAUAUAUUCAUGAAAAAGAACACUUACGUAACAAUUAAACUAUAAGCCAACCUCUAUAGACUUACUAACAUUAGAAUUAAAUAAAUAAAGAAUAAGUUGCAGCCAGUUAAUUGAUUAACGGAAGUUAAACUUUUACUAAAGUUGAACGCUAACAGCUCUGGAAUACUGAAGUAGAGAAAUGAACUAAUAAAACAGGAACAGUAAAUUAAUAAUAAAACCAAUCCAGUGUCAAAAUCUUUGGAGCUAACUACAAGCAAAAGAAGCAAAAACAAAAGUGCCAAAACUCGAAGCGAAAAAAUAAAAUUUGUAUACUACCAGCUUACUUCAACAUCUCAUUUUUUGAGGCACUUAAUCAAAUUUUCUACGGCACGAAUUCUACUAGCAUCUGUAUCGGUAACAACUGCAAAAGAAUAUGAAACAAAAUACUGUUAGUUACUUAAUGUAACCUAAAGGAAAGAAGUGAAAGGUUUGAAAAUGAAGGAGAUAACAUACGUGAUAUCUCAACAUUCGAAUUGUGGAAUUUUGUUUGAUUAGUUUCUUUUGAUUGUCUCUUCAUCAGUUAAGCAUCUCAGUAUCCUUCAAACCGUUAUUGCUAAGCGAAUUAAAUAAUUAGUACCUGCCUUUCAUAUGAUUGGAGUUGGAAAAAUAGGCAGCAGAUUGAACUAUCACCACAAGAGUGUCAGGGACCUUUGUAGUUUCUGGAUGCUGUUGUAUAUUGCAGUAAACAAUCCAUCGUAAGAAUAAGAAAUUUGAUAUGCAAUCAAUAAAUUAAAAAGACCACCAUAGAUUUAUGUAAGUUGUAAGUUUACACUUGUAUAUCAAGUUUCCGUCUACCUGAAGCCACAUAUGCAGGAAGAUGUCAUUGAGCUAACUAUGCUAAUUGAUCCCAAGGCUACCAUUUCAUUGUUUCACUUCAACUGGUGUUCAAUGCUACAAAUAUUCUAUCAAUUGUUGUAUCUUCCUAUAAUUCAAGAAGUUUGCAAUAUAUAAAAAGAAAAACUUUCUCUGAAAAGAAUAUUUGGCCACAAAAUGUAAGAAGCAUAACUAACCACUCAGUGCCAUCACACUAGCACAUCAAGCCUCAAUUUUUUUUGAGUUGAACAUCAAUCCUGAAAUUCUUGCACACAUAUUCACUAGUGAAAUAAUUCUCUUCAUCAUGCUUAUUUGCACCCAAACAUAUCAUGCAUUUUGAAAAGUGAAAUGAGGAUAUGACAAAGAUAUUGAUAAUAUGAUCUAUAACACUUGCUCUGGCUAGUCACUGAAAAAGCUUUUACAUUGAUAAGGCAUGUUUAUGCCAUAAAUAAGUCUCUAAAAGUAAAAACCAGAAUUGCUAGCUAAAGUUUAAUCUCUAGGAGUGCUUUACCAUGGCAAAUUAGCUCAAAUCUAUAGGAGUGCUUUACCAUGGGAAAUCAUCUCAAAUCUUUGGUUGAAUAGAGUAAUUAUCUACAACAAUCACCUGAGCAUAGUGCAAAACUUCACGUAAUUUUACUCAUGUUUCUAACCACCUCUGGUACAUAAGGAUGCUAUAGUUUCAAAUAUACAAUAAAAAUGAAGCUUAGAAGUAUGUACCUCAUUCUUCUCAUUUUUUUCUCAUUAGUUUGUCAACUAAUGUGAGAACCAAUAAUUCAGAACCAGCAGUUACCAAACAUCACACAUUGGACUGUGAAUUGUGAUUAUAGCAGUUUAUGAAUAUAAAAAAACUGCUAACUAAUAUCAGGAGCUCAUAUUAAUCUCCUGUAAAAAGAAGGUGUAAAAUCUAAUUCAGAUUUACUUGAUUAAAUAUUAACUAGAGUAUUACAUUAUGAGGAGGCUUCUUUAUAGUACUUGAAAACAAAAGACCCCUCAAUCAUCACAAGAAGGAAAAUAAAAAUUCAAUUCUUAGAUGCCAGACCAUCACUCCCCAAAAUGGACCAAGACCAACUUCCAAAUAAUUCAAAAAAUAAGAACAUAAAUUCAUUGGUUAUUAAACUAGUUGGACAAAGAAAAAGUCCAUUGCAUUGUUUGUCGUACUUCACGAUCUUAAGCACAUAAUCCAUUCAUAGCCAAAAUACAGAAAACCUUAAUCAACUGCAAAUGAUGAAAGAUACCCCAAAUACCACCUAAUACAAAUAUACGAUUUCAUACCAGAGACCUUCCUUUUAAAAAUUACACAUUCAUUUCCCCAAUAAAAUUACUCUUAGAAGGACAAAUUUACGCUUGGACCUUAAAAACAAAGGAAGCCACACAAUAAUUGAACAAAAUAUAACCCUAUAACUGUACUAAUACAUAGAUCCCACAGCAUAUCAAAAACAAUUUCAGGUACGGACUUCUACAUCAGAAAGUAAACAAAGACGAUAUAGAGCAAAAGAAAACAAGAAAGAUCUUAAUAAAGUACGAACCUUUGUUGCCGGGGGAAGAGAGGGAAUUGAGCCCUGCUAAUUUUUGAGUUGAAGAGAGGGAAUUAACUAUACUCUUAGAAAAAGGAGGAAUUUUGCCCGGUU
This 2870-nucleotide long non-coding RNA is filed under the name Nicotiana benthamiana. RNAcentral's name for it is "long non-coding RNA (NBEN_LNC012448)". Lineage: Eukaryota; Viridiplantae; Streptophyta; Magnoliopsida; Solanales; Solanaceae. The record is from RNAcentral.